This is a non-coding RNA of Gossypium raimondii (Peruvian cotton), 125 nucleotides long. The record is from Rfam. NCBI's taxonomy places the organism in Eukaryota, Viridiplantae, Streptophyta, Magnoliopsida, Malvales, Malvaceae.
AAGAAAAGAACCUGUCAAGUUAGCCAAGGUGACUGCCUGGUACCCAACAAUGGUUUCAGGGAAAUUUGAAACCUCUUGGAAGGAACAGGCAAGUCAUCCUUGGCUACCAAACAGAUCUCUUAUCU